AAUUUUAAGGGUUCUCCAUAGCUAGGGUUUGUUUCAAGCUUCCAAGCUCCAUAAGCAAGGAAAACUGAAAUUCGGGCUAAAAUGGGGAAAAUACCAAGUUGUGGACGAAAUGGUAAAAGUAGCCAUUUUCGCAUACGAGGUAAGUUCAUGUGUAAAUGUAGUAACAUAAUUGUUGUUUUAAGGAAUUUAAUGUUGUUUAUAUGAUAUGAUGCUUAUUAUUAUCAUGAAACGUUAUGUUUUGUGGUUAUUGUUGAAUAAUAUGUAAUUAUGUGAAUUACUUGAUGAGUAUGAACUAUCACCGAGUAUCGGUUCCGAUAUUCCGUGGAAGACGACAAAGAUGUGAGAUUGAGUAAAAAAGCCCGUUUGAACCUUAGGAAUAGAUUAGGAUACAAGUGACAUGUCACUAGGAUAUUUGGGCAUCCGAACUCGUUGAGUUGAGUCCGAGUUCACUUAUGGAUGCGAAUGUCUGAACUCGUUGAGUUGAGUCCGAGUUCGAGAGAUGUAACUAGGCAUCCGAACUCGUUGAGUUGAGUCCGAGUUCACUUAUGGAUGCGAACGCCCGAGCUCGUUGAGUUGAGUCCGAGUUCACUUAUGGGCGGGUUACAUGGUAGCUUGGCUACAUAUGUGGCACUUAUGUGCAAACUUUCCAUGUAUCCGAAUGAUAUUCCGAUGUGUUCAAUGGGUAAAGUUCUACUGAAAUGGAGGAAUACUCAAGAUGAAAGGGACGUAUUGGUAAGUUUUGUGAAAUGGAUACUUUGAACAGGUAUGUACUUAACCCUCGGGUUGAAAAAUCGAUAUAACAACAAUAUGGUAAGAUGAUAAAUGAAAAUGUGAUAUGAAUGUCUUGGUGAUGAUUAUGCAAAUGAUGUUUUAUGUUGGCUUAUAUGGUUAUGUUACUUGCUAUUUGCAUGUGAACUUAUUAAGCAUUUAUGCUUACUCCCUCCUUUUCAUUCCUUAUAGUUUUGACAAGCCAGCUCGGAAAUCGGGAACGGUCGGAGGCUCGCUCACACUAUCCGUAUACCAUCUUGGCAUAAUGGCUUGUAUAUUUUGAGUAUGGCAUGUAUAGCAUUAUAAUCAUUUUGUAUAUAUGGUCUGAUGAUAUGGUUAUUGAGUGGUAU
Molecule: long non-coding RNA, 1118 nt
Filed under: Gossypium barbadense (sea-island cotton)
Lineage: Eukaryota; Viridiplantae; Streptophyta; Magnoliopsida; Malvales; Malvaceae
Description: long non-coding RNA (GBAR_LNC011415)
Source: RNAcentral